AAGUGCUGAAAGCAUCUAAGCAUGAAGCCCCCCUCAAGAUGAGAUUUCCCAACUUCGGUUAUAAGAUCCCUCAAAGAUGAUGAGGUUAAUAGGUUCGAGGUGGAAGCAUGGUGACAUGUGGAGCUGACGAAUACUAAUCGAUCGAAGACUUAAUCAA
RNAcentral lists this ribosomal RNA (157 nucleotides) under Staphylococcus aureus. RNAcentral describes it as "partial 23S ribosomal RNA". It matches the Rfam family "Bacterial large subunit ribosomal RNA", at positions 2766 to 2925 of the family's 2925-position model. Lineage: Bacteria; Bacillati; Bacillota; Bacilli; Caryophanales; Staphylococcaceae. The record is from RNAcentral.